AUGGAGGAAGGGGAGUUGAGCACACAAAAUGUAGCUCACCACCCUUCAAUUCCAUUAACACACACCUGUGCACACAUUCAUUCAUUUUUCAUGCCUGUUAAUUAUGUAUGUUGUAAAGCUCUAUGGAGUUUAAAUUAAUACAACUUUCAACAACGGAUCUCUUGGCUUUUGCAUCGAUGAAGAACGCCGCGAAAGUGCGAAACGUAAUGUGAAUUGCAGAAUUCAGUGAAUCAUUGAAUCUUUGAACGCAUCUUGCGCUCCUUGGUAUUCCGAGGAGCAUGCCUGUUUGAGUGUCAUGAAGUCUCUCUCAAUCCCCUUGUGGAUUGGAUUUGGAUGUUUGCUGUGUUUUAAUGGCUCAUCUUGAAAUAUAUUAGCUGUUUUCCGCCUUAGGACAAAAAAUGGUGUGAUAAGAAAUUGCUUGCAUCAUUGUUUGUAGGGUCAAGUGGGCAGCUUACAAAACCCCUCCAAACAUAUCUCAUUUUGACCUCAAAUCAGGUAGGGCUACCCGCUGAACUUAAGCAUAUCAAC
Molecule: ribosomal RNA, 528 nt
Filed under: uncultured Basidiomycota
Lineage: Eukaryota; Fungi; Basidiomycota
Description: eukaryotic LSU rRNA
Rfam family: 5.8S ribosomal RNA (bases 142-296)
Source: RNAcentral